RNAcentral lists this long non-coding RNA (494 nucleotides) under Homo sapiens (human). RNAcentral's name for it is "non-protein coding lnc-ALDH3A2-3:2". The record is from RNAcentral. Lineage: Eukaryota; Metazoa; Chordata; Mammalia; Primates; Hominidae.
AGAAAAAAAAUAGGCAUUAUAGGGAGAAAACUUACAUCUUCAAAGAGGUAACGCAAAAUAUUUCAACUAUGAUAUAGAAUAGGAUGCUAUAGAAUAAAACAUUCAGUCAGGUAUGGUGGUACACACUUCUAAUCCCGGCACUUUGGGAGGCUGAGGCAGCCGCGAUUCCUCUAUGUUGUAGCAUGUCUCUCAAAACUUGAUUCCUUUUUCUGGCUGAAUAGUUUAUUGUGUGAUAUGCCACCUGGUGUUUAUUAAUCAGUUGAUGGACUUUUAGAUUGUUUCUAUGUUUUGGCAAUUGUGAAUAAUGCUGUAGUAAAUACUCGUGUACAAGUUUUUGUUUGAACACCUGUUUUCGCUUCUUUUGAGUCUAUACCUAGGAGUGGAAUUACUGGGUUAUAUGAUAAUUCUAUUUUUUUUCUUUCUUUCUUUUUUUUCUUUUCUUUGAAAAAAAAAAAAACACUUAAUAAAGUGAGAAUAGAAGGAAAGCUCCUCAA